CACAGGUGACACACACAGGUGACACACAGGUGACACAGGUGACACACAGGUGACACACAGGAGGUGACACAGGUGACACAGCUGUCCCUGUCCCCAGAUCCCGCUGGCCUGGCUGGUGUCGCGGUUCCUGCGGGGUCCCUACGGGAACGCGGCCGUGUGGAUGUCGCUGAUCCUGGGCCAGCCCAUCGCCGUCCUCAUGUACGUGCACGACUACUACGUGCUCAACUGCGAGCCCUGACACCCCAAAAACACCCAAAAACACCCCAAAAACACCCAAAAACCCCCGGAAUGUGGGAUUUUGGUGUCUCAGGGCUGCGUCAGCUGGAUCCUGAACACCUGGGGAUGUUUGGAGGAACCCCAAAAACACCCAAAAAACACCCAAAAACCCCCGGAAUGUGGGAUUUUGGUGUCUCAGGGCUGCGUCAGCUGGAUCCCGAACACCUGGGGAUGUUUGGAGGAACCCAAAAACACCCAAAAACACCCCAAAAACACCCAAAAACACCCAAAAACCCCCGGAAUGUGAGAUUUCGGUGUCUCAGGGCUGCCUGAGCUGGAUCCCGAACACCUGGGGAUGUUUUGGCAUCCCAAAAACACCCCAAAAACACCCAAAAACCCCCGGAAUGUGAGAUUUUGGUGUCUCAGGGCUGCGUCAGCUGGAUCCCGAACACCUGGGGAUGUUUGGAGGAACCUUUGGCAUCCCAAAAACACCCCAAAAACACCCAGAAACACCCAAAAACACCCCAAAAACACCCAAAAACACCCAAAAACACCCAAAAACCCCGGAAUGUGGGAUUUUUGGUGUCUCAGGGCUGCGUCAGCUGGAUCCCGAACACCUCGGCCGCGUCGCUGCGGUGCCGGUGUAGACAGGCGGCCUCGGAGGAACCCUCGGCGUCGCGCACGUUGUACUCGCCCUUCUUGCACGCCGUGGUUUUCAGGUAAUAACCGCCGGCCGCCGCCAGCGCCAGCGCCACCGCGACAGCCAGAGCUCCCAGCGCCGCCAGCACCGCCAGCCAGCUCUCUGCGGGGAAACGGUGACGGUGACACCGGGAAACGGCACCGGUGACACCGGGAAACGGCACCGGUGACACCGGGAAACGGCACCGGUGACACCGAGACAGCACCAGUGACCCUGAGUAAAGCACCAGUGACACCAGGAACAGCCCCGGUGACACCAAAGAACCACCGGUGACACCGGGAACAGCCCAGGUGACACCGGGAAUGGCACCAGGGACACCGGGAAUGGCACCAGGGACACCGGGAACAGCCCCAGUGACACCAGGAACCACCGGUGACACCGUGAACAGCCCUGGUGACAUCGGGAACAGCCCCAGUGACCCUGAGUAAAGCACCAGUGACACUGGGAACAGCCCUGGUGACACCAAGGAACCACCGGUGACACCGGGAACAGCACUGGUGACACCAAGAAUGGCACCAGUGACACCAGGAAUGGCACCAGGGACACCGGGAAUGGCACCAGGGACACCGGAAACAGCCCAGGUGACACCAAGGAACCACCGGUGACACCGGGAACAGCCCCAGUGACACCAGGAACAGCCCCGGUAACACCAGGAACAGCCCCGGUGA
Long non-coding RNA from Cyanistes caeruleus (blue tit), 1584 nucleotides. The record is from Ensembl. Lineage: Eukaryota; Metazoa; Chordata; Aves; Passeriformes; Paridae.